AACGAACGCUGGCGGCAUGCCUAACACAUGCAAGUCGAACGAGACCUUCGGGUCUAGUGGCGCACGGGUGCGUAACGCAUGGGAACCUGCCCUUAGGUUCGGAAUAACUCCCCGAAAGGGGUGCUAAUACCGGAUAAUGUCUUCGGACCAAAGAUUUAUCGCCUUUGGAUGGGCCCGCGUUGGAUUAGCUAGUUGGUAGGGUAAAAGCCUACCAAGGCGACGAUCCAUAGCUGGUCUGAGAGGAUGAUCAGCCACACUGGGACUGAGACACGGCCCAGACUCCUACGGGAGGCAGCAGUGGGGAAUAUUGGACAAUGGGCGAAAGCCUGAUCCAGCAAUGCCGCGUGAGUGAUGAAGGCCUUAGGGUUGUAAAGCUCUUUUACCCGGGAUGAUAAUGACAGUACCGGGAGGAUAAGCUCCGGCUAACUCCGUG
This 433-nucleotide ribosomal RNA is filed under the name uncultured bacterium. Its description in RNAcentral is "partial 16S ribosomal RNA". It matches the Rfam family "Bacterial small subunit ribosomal RNA", at positions 29 to 507 of the family's 1533-position model. The record is from RNAcentral.